This is a long non-coding RNA of Paramisgurnus dabryanus, 661 nucleotides long. RefSeq lists it as uncharacterized. NCBI's taxonomy places the organism in Eukaryota, Metazoa, Chordata, Actinopteri, Cypriniformes, Cobitidae. The record is from RefSeq and is a predicted model, not a curated record.
AGGAUCUUCAUCUCUUGGUCUUAUUGUUGGUCUGUGUCUUGGACUGAGCGUCAUGUUUGUGAUUUUUUUCUUGGUCCUGCUGUGGUGCUACAAAAACAAAAAUCUCUCUCGGUCUCCCUCGGCUGUCAGUCCACAGCAAAACAUCAGUCAGACAUCAGAUCAAAAACAGACUGAAGAUGUUUACACUCCACUGCAGUUUGGAGAUUCUCAUCUUUACGACUGUAUUAAUACAACAGCUAAUAAAGACACAAGCUCAGGAAGUUAAACUGGAAGGGAAGAGAUCAAGAUGUUGCUUCUGGAUCUGUUGGUGUGACUUAUGCUCAAGAUUAUCUAAUAACCAGAGGAGAAAAAUACGGCAAAAAUUUAACUAAUGCUCAAUAUAAUCAAUAUAAACCUUCAUGUGCAUCAGAGAAAGCUUGCUAUUCUUUAAUUGUCUAAUUGCAUGAUAGUUUUUUAGCAUAUUUUUUAUUAACAUUUUAUGUAAGUCUGGUGUGCAGCAUAUAGCAUCUAAGAUGACCUGACUUUCAGUCCUGACCUAAUAUACAUGAAUAAUAUUUGUCUGAAUACUUUGUUUGUUUCUUAAUGCAUUAUUCAGCUUAAUGGCAUAAUAGGGUACAUCAGAGUUGUCAUUUGUACCAAAAUGAUUUUGUCCCAUACUGUG